Molecule: ribosomal RNA, 253 nt
Filed under: uncultured bacterium
Lineage: Bacteria
Description: partial 16S ribosomal RNA
Rfam family: Bacterial small subunit ribosomal RNA
Source: RNAcentral
UACGUAGGGUGCAAGCGUUAAUCGGAAUUACUGGGCGUAAAGCGUGCGCAGGCGGUCUUGCAAGACAGAUGUGAAAUCCCCGGGCUUAACCUGGGAACUGCAUUUGUGACUGCAAGGCUGGAGUACGGUAGAGGGGGAUGGAAUUCCGCGUGUAGCAGUGAAAUGCGUAGAUAUCAGGAGGAAUACCGAUGGCGAAGGCAGGUUGCUGGGCUAACACUGACGCUCAUGCACGAAAGCGUGGGGAGCAAACAGG